GUGCACGCUUUGGCAUCACAUAUACUAAAAUUGGAACAAUAAGAGAAGAUUAGCAUGGCCCCUGCACAAGGAUGACACGCAAGUUCAUGAAGUGUUCCAUAUUUUU
Small nuclear RNA from Carlito syrichta (Philippine tarsier), 106 nucleotides. The record is from Ensembl. NCBI's taxonomy places the organism in Eukaryota, Metazoa, Chordata, Mammalia, Primates, Tarsiidae.